GAUAUUUUAAAGGGCCCUCGCUGGCGUGGCUCAGUAUAUUGAGAGCCAGCCUGCGAACCAAAGGGUCCCCAGUUCGAUUCCCAGCCAGG
Long non-coding RNA from Phyllostomus discolor (pale spear-nosed bat), 89 nucleotides. RefSeq lists it as uncharacterized. The transcript has 3 exons. The record is from RefSeq and is a predicted model, not a curated record. Lineage: Eukaryota; Metazoa; Chordata; Mammalia; Chiroptera; Phyllostomidae.